Molecule: small nuclear RNA, 23 nt
Filed under: Arabidopsis thaliana (thale cress)
Lineage: Eukaryota; Viridiplantae; Streptophyta; Magnoliopsida; Brassicales; Brassicaceae
Description: snRNA_13925
Source: RNAcentral
GUUCUGAAGCGAAUUUGGAAAUC